GUACUCGCUUCGGCGGUACAUAUACUGACAUUGGAACGAUACAGAGAUUAGCAUGGCCCCUGCGCAAGGAUGACACACAGAUUUUAGAUUUGCUUGUUUUUUAC
Schistocerca americana (American grasshopper) is the source of this 104-nucleotide small nuclear RNA. NCBI's taxonomy places the organism in Eukaryota, Metazoa, Arthropoda, Insecta, Orthoptera, Acrididae. The record is from RefSeq and is a predicted model, not a curated record.